This 466-nucleotide ribosomal RNA is filed under the name uncultured bacterium. RNAcentral describes it as "partial 16S ribosomal RNA". It matches the Rfam family "Bacterial small subunit ribosomal RNA", at positions 28 to 523 of the family's 1533-position model. The record is from RNAcentral.
GAUGAACGCUGGCGGCGUGCCCAACACAUGCAAGUCGAGCGAACCCUUCGGGGUGAGCGGCGGACGGGUGAGUAACGCGUGGGUAACCUGCCCUAUACACACGGAUAACGUACCGAAAGGUACGCUAAUACGGGAUAAUAUUGUUGGAUGGCAUCUUCUAACCAUCAAAGCUCCGGCGGUAUAGGAUGGACCCGCGUCUGAUUAGCUAGUUGGUGAGGUAAUGGCUCACCAAGGCGACGAUCAGUAGCCGACCUGAGAGGGUGAUCGGCCACACUGGAACUGAGACACGGUCCAGACUCCUACGGGAGGCAGCAGUGGGGAAUAUUGCACAAUGGGCGAAAGCCUGAUGCAGCAACGCCGCGUGAGCGAUGAAGGUCUUCGGAUCGUAAAGCUCUGUCCUCAAGGAAGAUAAUGACGGUACUUGAGGAGGAAGCCCCGGCUAACUACGUGCCAGCCGCCGCAGUAA